GGGGGGGGUACAAUGGAAUUAUAAGUACUAUGAAGUUUUGUUUGUAGUCAACUUUUGGGUUUUUGAAUCAGUGUGGUAGGAUGAAACGCUGACCAAGUGGUUAUUUUAUGGAAAAAGAAGCGCUUAGCUCUCUGGGAAAAAAAAUCCUAGGGACAUGAUAUCUUAAAGGGGUAUACACACAUGGCAUUUUGGAAGUUUUGUUUUCUGAGUUUAAUUAAACACGUGAAAUUCUUUUGAUAGGGAAUGUUCUGGGAACCUGGGAUACAACAUGUAGAUAAAGUACUUAGCCUUCAUUUGUCUAAUGUAGUAAGAAAUACGGUUCUGAAAGGGUGGUAUGACUUUUGACCCCUCUGGUGACUUUUCCUUUUGUGGUCUGAUCAGCCGCAAUGAAAAGCCAUUUGGAUGGAGAAUUUAAGGUCAUUUGUGAAACUGACUUUAAGGAAAUUUGUAGAACUGAUAAUUAUGAUGGAGUUAAAGUUCUUAGACACAAUUGAUAAUUUGAACCAAUGAGAAGACAAAAUGACGAUAAGGGUACAAUAAUUUUUCUUUGUGGAGUAGUUCAGAUUAGUCAUUUUGAUCUGAUUAUGUUAUGUGAAUAUCGUUUGAUAAUUAAGGGUACUUUUUACAUUAUCUAGAUCAGUUUAUUUUCCCUUAGGAAGUCAGCUGAGGUUGUAUUCAGUGGAAGAGAUUCAACACAACAAGGCUGUGGAAUUAAUAUAAUAGUAUUAUUAUAUUUUGUUGUUGAAUAAGUUUAAUAAUGGUAGACUUUUGUCAACAAGACAGGAAUAUAUGUCAUCUGUAGGUGAUCCAGGAUCAUUGAGGGUAUUGAGAUAAAUUAAAGUAGCUAUGUAAUAAGACAAUGAGACAUUUAGUACUCCCCUGCACUGCUGAAACCUUGAUGGGUUGGAAGUAGCAGGAGGAGAGCAUAAGCCAGGAAGAGAAGAUAAAAGUGAAACAGAAGAAUUAGGUAACGGUUAGUGAGUGAAGACCAGCAUAGUUAAAUUAUAAACGGGUGAGGACAGAAAUAACACUGGGAGAGACAGAAAAGACAUAAGAAUAGAAGAUAGCAGGAUAAUUUAGUUUGGUUCAUUUAGUUAGGAUAUUAAUACAUGGAGAGACUGGCAUGUAUUUUAGUUUUGAUUUUAAGUUUAUGUUUGGUAAAUUCUCUAAGGAGAGAUAUGACUAUUUACACAGACAAGCACAUAGGCAUUUAAAACCACACAAAGCAGCACAGAUAAAUCUUAAGACACUUGACAGAGAAUUGUUACAGGGUAACUAAGGAUGAAUGCCCCAGGGAGAGUUGGACAUGUGGAAAAUGAGAGGGCAAUCCUACAAGAGAAGGGCUGACAUAAGGAUAAUAUACUGAUCUUAUCAAAGACAUUGUUUAGAUAUGCAGCAAAAUUGAUACAUGGCUUGAGCCAUGUAUAAAUAGGGGGAGUAUGGUAGAGAGUAUGGUAGAGCAGGCGAUAGAACAGGUUAGGAUAAUUACUUAAACAAGAACAUAUUACUUAAACAAAAACAUUUUUUGUAGAAUAUCCAUUCCAACAUUUGGAAAUUGACUUAUUGAACUAUUCCAAAUUGAGGGGAAGAAGGGGUAACAGAUAAGUAUAGCAAAUGGGUAGAAGCGUUCCCAACUUACUUGGUGGACAUGAUUAUGGUAACUAAUACAUUAGGACAAGAUAAUAUCCCUAGGGUUGGGGUACUGAAAUCUAUCUCUUUAAAUUAUGGAUGACAUUUUAGCUAAUCAGGUAGAGCCUAUAGAAUGACAGAGUUAGGGAGAAUAGAGAUACCAGAACAGGUAGACAUAGAAGUUGAAGAAAUAGUAGCAGAACACAUGAGAAGACUGUUUGUUAACCAAACCCGUAUGUCCAAGAUUUUGUGUCCAACAGGUGAAUUACAGGAGAAGAUGAUUCACUCAAUCCAACCAGGAGACUGGGUGUGGAUCCGAUCCCUGAGGAGAAAAAACUGGAAGCAGUCCCGUUGGGAAGGCCCAUACCAGGUGCUGUUAAACCAUUGCCUUUGCCAUUAGAAAAGCUGAGAGAGUCACUUGGGUCCACGUUAUCCACUGCAAGAAGGUAUGUACACAUAUGAGCACUGCUGAUCACACACAGAGUUAGGAGAAGAACCGAGUACCAACAGGGUCCGGGGGUUACCUCCUUAACGAAGAUUUCCUAUCCCGACCGUUCAUCACUGUGUGUGCUCCUAGAGGUGUGAGUAUGGGGUGGUACCAAGCAGAGAGACUAAGGGCAGGAGAGGGUUGGCGUUUUUUGGGAAGAGUAGAGACUCUGAGCUGCAUCAUAGUCUAAUCUUUCUGAUACAUUCAGAUCCACCACCUUCUGGUACUAAUCAUACGAUACCGUUGUCAUUGAGAAGAAGUAGAAGAUAAACUAUAUAAUACACUGAUGAGUGACUUACAGAAUAAGGAGUCAAAGAAGAUCAAGAUGUAGGAUUUAAGAGAUUCAUGAAUGAAACCGGGGAUGCAGUAAAGAGGUUCUCUGACCAAUUAUCCGCCACCUCCCUCAUGACCUGGUAAAAUAGACUGACUUUCGAUAUGUUACUGGCAAAGAGGAUGGUGUAAGUAGAAUGAUUAGGUUCAUUGCUGUACGUACAUUCCUGAUAACACAGCUCUUGUUUGGGAAAUGAAAAAGUGUUGUAAGAACUGUAUUAUGGCCAGCUUUCACCUGUAUGAGGUUUAAUCACCAGAACUCUAGAGAGAUGGAUAACGGAGCAGAUGGUGAGAUACGGACCGAGUCAAAGUUCAGACCAAUGGGACGACAAGUACCUACCGCCGAGCAAGGUGGAGGAUUCAUUCAAAAAUGAGGAGCACAUGUUAGAUGAGACCGUCUAUUGGGAUUCAUGAAUUAGUUUGAUUUUGUGUGAAAUUUCUGAAUCCAAUAAAAAUAGAUGUGUUAUAAUGUAUGUGAAAUAUCUAGCAAAACGGGUGGAUUGUAAUGGAAAUUAUAUGAUUUUAAGCCCUAUUGAGACUUGACAAGCUAUCUGCUGAGAUGAAGGGUGUAGCAGGGGUAGGCGAGGGGAAUUGGAUGAAUAACCUUUUUUGGCAAGUACACAUCUAUGGUGGUUACUGGAUUUCUGACCCUAGUGCUUGUGUUCCUAUUAUUGAUAUGUUGUGCUGCCUGUAUAAUCCCAUGCUUAAGAAAGUCUCUUACAGAAGUUGUCAGAGCAACCGUAAUGAUGCCUUUGAUGGAAUUGACCCCGGAGAACACUAAAUCCAGCACUGGGCAAAAGAUGGAUCUGUCCGAGAACGAUCCUUGGUUUGCUGUUAAGGAAGUGGUUGAAUAAAGCGUAUACACAAUAAAUUCAUAUGUAUUGAAUGUAGUGGCAGGUGGAUGUGAAGGUUUUAAGUACUGGGACAAAGUGUCUGUCCCACACAUGUUAGGUGUAGCCACUGUCUUCUUUUUAUAAGUUUUUUAAUUAAUAUGUUCUGAAUUUAUCCUGUAUACUAUUUGUCUUUCCUUAUGUGAAGGUUUGAAGUUCCUGGGUGACUGGUAGUCAACCUAGUACAAGUGAGGUGUAGCCGGAAGGAUGUGAGGGUUUUUAACGAAUUAUCUAAUCAUUAAAAUGGAGAUAUACAAAUUGUGUUGAGUGACACCCUAGGGGGUGUCAAAAGGGGGAAUCCUAAAUUUCCCUGAAAUUUCUUAUUGGAGUAUGUUCACACCCCAAGGGGUGUGAAAGGGGGGAUUGUUAGGGUUAAACUGGCUAUUUGUUUGCAUAACCUAUAUAAUAUACCGGGGAAGCUAUGCUACAAUAUUAAGUAUAUAAACUACGGAUAAAUCAACUGCUGAAGACAAGAACUACACCCGGCGACAGGAAGUGCGUCACUAGGCUGGGACCAGCCUGCACGCCGACGUUAGGAUGAGCAAGUUUAAACCACGCUCAUCCUCCCUCUGACAGGCCAGCAUUGAGCGGGAACUAUCUCUGUCAGAGUAUAUAAGGGAGAACAAUAGGAUGUGACGUUCUCUUCUCUGUCUGCCCUGCGUGGUGUCACAGCGAGACCGUAUAUAUACGAACAACAUAUUUACCAUACAAGUGUUUGCAAUAAUUAAAGAACAAAGAAAACUUGAGUUACUCUUUGCUAAAUAAUUUGUUCUAAUACCAGAUUCGAAUUGACACGACUCGACAUUACUACGUGCAGAAAGUUAAUAUUCUGUUCCAUGUUUCUAAGGAGGGAGGCGAAGGGCAAUAGUUAGUCUCUGAUAAGGCAUGCCAGCUACGGAACCAGGGAGGAGCGAGGAAUGCGGCUCAAGGUCAAGUCAUAGGAUGAAGUGAGAAGAAACCUCUGGGAGGGGGUCUGAGAGGCCCACCACAACGAUCCUCCUACCACAGUCCUAUAUCACACACAUACACUUCCACGCCCACAAAGGUUCUAGCAUCAGGCAGGGCCAUGACUACACCAGUGAGAGGAACCAAUUAAGUUCCUUCUUAGCAACAGAGAUGUAUUGGCUGUCUAGAUGUGUAAGGUGUUGACCCCGCCUAUUAGGAGGUUAUAAAUAUAUGUGCUUGUGUAAUCAUGUCUUGUCUUUGCAGCUGUAUGUCCCAGUGGGUGAAUAAACUUGGUUUGAGCUUUUUCUAGUCGUCCAUUUGAGUUUUUACUCUGUUUGUUCAGAACCUAACACUAAC
This 4638-nucleotide long non-coding RNA is filed under the name Salmo salar (Atlantic salmon). Its description in RNAcentral is "lncRNA (ENSSSAG00000106525.1)". Lineage: Eukaryota; Metazoa; Chordata; Actinopteri; Salmoniformes; Salmonidae. The record is from RNAcentral.